UAGACUGAACAUAAAUAGAUAUUGGUAACACCGGCACUUUAUUCAGGCGCACAAGCAGAAGAACCAGGUGCCGAAACAGGGGAUAUCAUCAUUCUAUCAGUUGCUUGUUGAAUUCCAAAAAUGGCGGUGGCAUCAACAUCUCUAGCUUCUCAAAUGUCUGGCCCUAAAUCCGUCACUUCCAUUUCAUGCCCGCAGUUCUCUGGCCUCCGGAAAUCUCUCUCCAAGCUUGAUAACUCCGUUUCCUUCUCCACUUCUCAAGCUUUCUUCCAAAACGUCGAUUCUCACCUCCGAAUUUCUUCUGACCGGAAAGGUUGUAGGGCCGUCGUCGCCAUGGCCGGCUCCGGCAAGUUCUUUGUUGGAGGAAAUUGGAAAUGUAAUGGAACAAAGGACUCCAUAAGCAAGCUUGUCUCUGAUUUAAACAGUGCUCAGCUCGAGUCUGAUGUUGAUGUGGUUGUAGCACCUCCCUUUCUGUACAUUGAUCAAGUAAAGAAUUCACUCACCGAUAGGAUUGAAGUUUCUGCUCAGAAUUGUUGGACUGGAAAAGGUGGAGCUUUCACUGGUGAAAUCAGUGUAGAACAAGUGAAAGAUCUUGGCUGCAAGUGGGUCAUUCUUGGUCAUUCGGAAAGGAGACAUGUAAUUGGAGAAAAUGAUGAAUUUAUUGGCAAGAAGGCUGCUUAUGCUUUGAGCCAAGGCGUUGGUGUUAUAGCCUGUAUUGGAGAGCUGUUAGAAGAAAGAGAAGCAGGAAAAACUUUUGAUGUCUGUUUCCAGCAAUUGAAGGCUUUUGCAGAUGCUAUACCAAGUUGGGAUAAUGUUGUCAUUGCGUAUGAGCCUGUUUGGGCUAUUGGAACUGGUAAAGUUGCCUCGCCUGAGCAGGCUCAGGAGGUACAUGUAGCUGUCCG
RNAcentral lists this unclassified non-coding RNA (899 nucleotides) under Hevea brasiliensis (rubber tree). Lineage: Eukaryota; Viridiplantae; Streptophyta; Magnoliopsida; Malpighiales; Euphorbiaceae. The record is from RNAcentral.